GUCCCCUUCGGGACAUACGUUACAGAGAAGAUUAGCAUAGUUCCUGUGCAAGAAUGACACGCAUAAAUUGAAAAAUUGUCCAAAUUUUU
This 89-nucleotide small nuclear RNA is filed under the name Prunus dulcis (almond). Lineage: Eukaryota; Viridiplantae; Streptophyta; Magnoliopsida; Rosales; Rosaceae. The record is from RNAcentral.